Molecule: long non-coding RNA, 817 nt
Organism: Lontra canadensis (Northern American river otter)
Lineage: Eukaryota; Metazoa; Chordata; Mammalia; Carnivora; Mustelidae
Exons: 2
Source: RefSeq, a predicted model, not a curated record
GUAUCUUCCAGACGGCUGUGAGUUGACUUCGUAGCUGACAGACCGGUUUAGGAGCACCCUCCACCCCCAAGGAAGAUCAGAACUCCUUUAAGGAUGCAGGAAACUCCCCGAGGCCCAGGUUGUGGGGAACUGGGAUCUCCCUCGCUUAUCCCAGGACGGGCCACUGCCCAUGAUCGUCGGUCAAGCCAUAACCAAGAGCAUGGUGGCUGUUCGUGCACGUGGUCCUCUUCUAGGAACUAGGAAGCCACCUCACAGCAGGACCAUGCCCGGCUCCUCCUUUUGCAGACUUUACUGAAGUGUUAGCUCUCUGGAAAAGGAUCUGCUAGUGGGACCUGGGGCUUUUGUUCCCUGUGCCACACUCCCCCGUCCCCCUCAAGAUAUCCAGUACUCUCCCUUCAUGGAGGAGGUUUGAGCUUCGUUCAGGCAGCAAGAGAAGACCUAGCCCUCACGGGUCAGGGUUCCUUCAAAGGUCAGGGCUCACAGGACUCCUCAAUAGAGAGGGCUGGGCGUGAGCAGGAGCCCCACUGUAGGCUUUGGUAUCAGUACAGAGGGUGGGUCCCUUCCCAUCAUCUUUUCCCCCUUUGUCCCAGAACUCCACUCAGACCCAAAGACUCUUCCAUUUACCAUCAACAUGGAAACUUGGCUCUUCACUUGGGUAUAUUCUCCCUCUUUUGUGCAUUAUCUUGUUCCUCAAAACUGCCCUUCCAUGAGGGAGGCCUGUAGAGUCAAGGGGCCUGGCCAGACACCAGAGGUGACUGGGCCCCUCAGACCUUAGUUGGUUGGGUAGACCAACUUAAUAAAGGCUUUGUGUCCUUGA